RNAcentral lists this ribosomal RNA (439 nucleotides) under uncultured bacterium. RNAcentral describes it as "bacterial SSU rRNA". It matches the Rfam family "Bacterial small subunit ribosomal RNA", at positions 954 to 1392 of the family's 1533-position model. The record is from RNAcentral.
AUGGGAACGCGAAGAACCUUACCUACUCUUGACAUCCAGAGAACUUAGCAGAGAUGCUUUGGUGCCUUCGGGAACUCUGAGACAGGUGCUGCAUGGCUGUCGUCAGCUCGUGUUGUGAAAUGUUGGGUUAAGUCCCGCAACGAGCGCAACCCUUAUCCUUUGUUGCCAGCGAUUCGGUCGGGAACUCAAAGGAGACUGCCAGUGAUAAACUGGAGGAAGGUGGGGAUGACGUCAAGUCAUCAUGGCCCUUACGAGUAGGGCUACACACGUGCUACAAUGGCGCAUACAAAGAGAAGCGACCUCGCGAGAGCAAGCGGACCUCAUAAAGUGCGUCGUAGUCCGGAUUGGAGUCUGCAACUCGACUCCAUGAAGUCGGAAUCGCUAGUAAUCGUAGAUCAGAAUGCUACGGUGAAUACGUUCCCGGGUCUUGUACACACCG